This 484-nucleotide long non-coding RNA is filed under the name Homo sapiens (human). RNAcentral describes it as "HSALNT0409102". Lineage: Eukaryota; Metazoa; Chordata; Mammalia; Primates; Hominidae. The record is from RNAcentral.
CACAUCCUGGCAACGGUACUACCCUGGGUUCCGGGCAGGGGUGGAACUGGAUUCUGCCUGGAUGGGGAUCGGAUGGGGGUGGAGGUUUGAUUUGGGAAGCAGAGCACAGCAGCCCAAAUUUGUUGUAAUGGCGGCGGCUACAGACUUGGCAUAUGGCAUAAGACACACAGAGAGAGCCUUGCUGGUGUAGCUGAGAUUUACGACCCUCAUCCAACCAAACCAUUUCAGAUUCUUGGGGCUCAGAGCUCUCAUCGGAAAGACAUCUAUUCUGGGAGCAGGUACCCUUGUGACUAUGAAGAUUGACAAAAAGUUGACGGCAACGAUGAAUUCUCUUCCAGAACUUACAUCCCAGAAGGCCCUCCCCUACUUCGGGUCUCCCUAGAGAGUGGAGAGACCUGCUGCCCUUGAAGAAGCAAACAGCCAUGUUGUGAGCUGCCUAAGCCUCUAGGUCUUGAGGGAAGCUUACAGUUAAGAGCCAGCAAAA